RNAcentral lists this long non-coding RNA (2560 nucleotides) under Homo sapiens (human). RNAcentral's name for it is "HSALNT0043835". The record is from RNAcentral. Lineage: Eukaryota; Metazoa; Chordata; Mammalia; Primates; Hominidae.
GUUGGUAGAUUCAGCUGUGCUGGGCAUCCUGGCUGAGUAACAGAGACAGUGAAUGUAAACAAUUAAGAUGUUCUAAUAAAGGAACCCAAAGAGGGUCCCAGAGGCUAGAAUAUCUACCUCCUGGGGGCAAACAGAGGUUUCCUAAGAACAUGUCAUCUGAGCAGAGUCCUCAAGUAAGACUAGGAGUUGCAUGGGGAGAGGAGGGGAAGGUAGGCCUGCAGACGGCUAGGUGAGCACAGGCACGGGGUGUGGAACAUUUAGCUUAUGGCAAGAGCAGAGGGUACAAAGGAAGGAGAGAGAGGAGGUGGGAUGGGAAGGUCAAUUGUGCCAACUAAGAUUUUUUUCCUGUAGUAAGGGGGAGGGAGGGCCUGAAGGACUUUAAACAGGUGAGCCAUGCAAUCAGCUGUGCUUUGGGAGGAUAGCUCUGGUGGUGACAUGGAGCCUUGAGGAUGGGACUAUACGCAUGAGACUGGGAUCAGAGUGGAGGCAGCUGGCAAGGAGGCAGUCAGGAGACCCUACUAAUAUAGGGAAUCCAAAUGAAGGAGAAAAAUCAUGAUGGCACAGCUAGAAACUAAUAGAGAAGAAAAAAUACCCCAGGCAUUUUGGCCUUGUUUUACAACAUAUUUCUUAGCUUUUUGAUGGCAAUGGAAGCUUUUUUGAAGUUGUCUUUUGUUUCCUGCCUUUACUGUAUGCUCUGAAUUCCCUUCUCUUUCAUGCUUUUUGGUUUGCAUCUAUUCUUUCAUAUUGGAGGCUUUGCUCAAACAUUCUGUGGACCUUAUCUGUUUGCAUAUAUUUAAAUGCAAGGCACUGAAAGACAAAAGACCUAUUCAAGGCAGAGUACAAAGUGGACCAGGGCAGGCUGAUUUCUCAACCUCUCUGUCGUGAGUUGACUCGUGUACUCCCAAAAGCUAUGUUGAAGUUCUAACCCCGGUACCUGUGAAUGUGGCCAUGUUUGGAAAUAGGGUCUUUGCAGAUGUUAGUUAUCAAGGUUUUCUUAGUGUGAAAUAUGAACUCAUGAGCAUCUGGCCUGGGAACUGGACCAGUUUUAAAUCUCGUGUUGAGAGCCGGAAGAUGCUGGAGAAGGAAUGUGGUGGAAUGACUGCCUGAGAAUGAACCAUUCUCCAGUGAGAGGGGGCUUCGAUAUUGAAAGGGCAAUUUGGCCUUAACUUGGAAAUGCUGGAGAUUGAUUGCAUACAAUCUGUCCUGCUAGUGAGAGAAGCAAGGACUGCAUCUAAGUGCAACAUGAAGACUUUUGGUCCCAAGCUUUCCUCCAACUUCAGUGGGAGGCAGCCCAAAACCACCGUCGGUUCAAGAAUACAAGUGACCUGCAAUUCUUGGAAAGACUCCCCCAAUUCUUCUCCCAAUAUGUGGUCAGCUUUUCCAGCAGGAUUAGGGAGGGAGGAGUUUCAGCUGUGCUUCUAAGAUCUUCCAGAAUGAAUUUUCUACCUCAAAAAUCAAGGACUUUUCUGGAAACUGCAGUCAGAGGACAGAACAUCAGCCUCAAGCUGGAAAAACAUUUAUUUUGUGGUGGGGUGUGUACCUCAGUAUUCCCUGUGCUAGAAGAAAAGAAGCACUUUCAAGGAAGAGAAAUGGAAAUGUAAAGGAGAAGGCCUGCCAGUUCCUACGAAUGAGAAAUGAUCUUCCACCAUCACUAAGCACACUUACGGUUAACAUCGCGAACAUCAGCUGACACACGUUGAAGCUCCAUGAACAUCCGGAGAGCAGCUGUGAUCAUGGCAUCAACGUCGAGAGAAAAGUCAUCAAAAUGAAUGUCAUCGAUGGCAAGUUCUGACACCAGAGGGAUGUUGGCUGCCUAGAAAAGCAAAAGACAUAAGUCAAGCCAAGUUCACCAGCUUUCCCAAACCCCCAUCCUGCUCUCCUCCCCUGCUUAUCAGAAGUGCCACAUAAAUCAGGCCUGACCUGCACUUACACCCUGAUACAGCUAAACUCUGAGCUGUAAAUGUCUUUUGUUUCUGAACUGCAAAUGCCCCAAGCAAAUGAAGGUGGGGGCAGGGUUGGGGGCGGGGGGAGGGAAACUAAUCUGAAGAUAAAAUACACGCACUGGAUCUAGCCUGCAGAAUUUAUAAUACAGAACUGUCAAGUUUAUGGAAACUGUGGUCAUACAAUAUAUUCUGAUGCAUAUUACAGAGCACUAAAUGCAAGAAACAUCUGGGCAGCCAGCAGCUGUGAAUUUUAAUUGAUGCUAUUCAGGAGAAGGAGAAGGGAAUACACCACUUUGCCUUGUUUCUUAUAUCCUUAUAUCCUGUAGCUUGCACGUGUUCUUUGUUACACACGUGUUCUGUAUAUUCAGAAUGAUCGAAAGGAUCAGACAGCACAUCUCUGGUGGGAAAUAUGUUGCCUUAAUAAAAUAGAGAUAUCUGAAGGUUUAGCAUAAGCCUAUGUUUCACUGAGGAGAUCAAUUUUGCUUUCUUGUUUAGCUUCAUUCUAUAUAAACAUCACAACAUAAUUACAAUACUGGUCAUACAUAUUCAAGGUUUUCAAAACACCCAUGUUAGGCAACUGUCAAUCAGCUGCCCACAAACGAGCCUAAAGAGGAGAA